GAUGAACGCUGGCGGCGUGCCUAAUACAUGCAAGUCGAGCGAACGGACGAGAAGCUUGCUUCUCUGAUGUUAGCGGCGGACGGGUGAGUAACACGUGGAUAACCUACCUAUAAGACUGGGAUAACUUCGGGAAACCGGAGCUAAUACCGGAUAAUAUUUUGAACCGCAUGGUUCAAAAGUGAAAGACGGUCUUGCUGUCACUUAUAGAUGGAUCCGCGCUGCAUUAGCUAGUUGGUAAGGUAACGGCUUACCAAGGCAACGAUGCAUAGCCGACCUGAGAGGGUGAUUGGCCACACUGGAACUGAGACACGGUCCAGACUCCUACGGGAGGCAGCAGUAGGGAAUCUUCCGCGAUGGGCGAAAGCCUGACGGAGCAACGCCGCGUGAGUGAUGAAGGUCUUCGGAUCGUAAAACUCUGUUAUUAGGGAAGAACAUAUGUGUAAGUAACUGUGCACAUCUUGACGGUACCUAAUCAGAAAGCCACGGCUAACUACGUG
RNAcentral lists this ribosomal RNA (497 nucleotides) under uncultured bacterium. RNAcentral's name for it is "partial 16S ribosomal RNA". It matches the Rfam family "Bacterial small subunit ribosomal RNA", at positions 28 to 507 of the family's 1533-position model. The record is from RNAcentral.